This 433-nucleotide ribosomal RNA is filed under the name uncultured bacterium. Its description in RNAcentral is "partial 16S ribosomal RNA". It matches the Rfam family "Bacterial small subunit ribosomal RNA", at positions 28 to 507 of the family's 1533-position model. The record is from RNAcentral.
GACGAACGCUGGCGGCGUGCCUAACACAUGCAAGUCGAACGAAAAGUCCGGGCCUUGUGGCGCACGGCGGCGUACGGCGUGGGGACCUGCACUUGGGUUCGGAAUACCUCCCCGAAAGGGAUGCUAAUGCCGGAUAAUGUCUUCGGACCAAAGAUUUAUUGCCUUUGGAUGGGCCCUAGUUGGAUUCGGUGGUUGGUAGGGUAAAAGCAUACCAAGGGCAGGAUCCAUAGCUGGGAUGAGAGGAUGAUCAGCCACACUGGGACGCAGACACGGCCCAGAAUCUUACGGAAGGGAGGAGAGGGUAACAGUGGACGAGGGGGGAAGGCCUGAUCCAGCCAUGCCGGGUAAGUGAUGAUGGCCGUAGGGAUGUAAAGUUCUUUUACCCGGGAUGAUAAUGACAGUACCGGGAGAAUAAGCUCCGGCUAACUACGUG